CACGUAGGGUGCGAGCGUUGUCCGGAAUUAUUGGGCGUAAAGAGCUCGUAGGCGGUCCGUCACGUCGGAUGUGAAAUUCCAGGGCUCAACCCUGGACCUGCAUUCGAUACGGGCGGACUAGAGUUCGGUAGGGGAGACUGGAAUUCCUGGUGUAGCGGUGAAAUGCGCAGAUAUCAGGAGGAACACCGGUGGCGAAGGCGGGUCUCUGGGCCGAAACUGACGCUGAGGAGCGAAAGCGUGGGGAGCGAACAGG
This 253-nucleotide ribosomal RNA is filed under the name uncultured bacterium. RNAcentral's name for it is "partial 16S ribosomal RNA". It matches the Rfam family "Bacterial small subunit ribosomal RNA", at positions 524 to 776 of the family's 1533-position model. The record is from RNAcentral.